ACCUGGCUGGCUCAGUCGGUGGAGCAUGUGAUUUUUGAUCUCGGAGUCGUGAGUUCGAGCCCCACGUUGAGUG
Molecule: transfer RNA, 73 nt
Filed under: Canis lupus familiaris (dog)
Lineage: Eukaryota; Metazoa; Chordata; Mammalia; Carnivora; Canidae
Also listed under: 2 other names
Rfam family: tRNA
About the family: Transfer RNA (tRNA) molecules are approximately 80 nucleotides in length. Their secondary structure includes four short double-helical elements and three loops (D, anti-codon, and T loops).
Source: Rfam by way of RNAcentral